AGAGGAAGUAAAAGAUUGAUACAUUUUUCUCUUUCAUGUAGAAUCUUUACAGAAAUUGAUUUGGGUCUGUGACCAGGGUAAUCAAAAAUACUUUCUUUCCUUUUUGGGUCCUGGGUUUAUAAGAAAAGUGAGAGAGCAUGAUCUUCAGUGUGUGCUGCACGAGCAGUGGUGUGGACCCAGAGUUCAGGCAUAGGCGAAGGACGGACACGGAUUUCACACUCCUGAUAGGAACAUGGACUUGGAGGUUGCUCGUGAAUCCCAGGACCUCCACCGCAUCUACAGGCAAGAGGGGCAUCCCCACCACCAGCUCUACCAGCACCACCUCUAACUGCAGGAAUUGCUCCUCCAAGUCCUUGGCCUCUACUAAAUGGUAUCCACUGCCUUUGCCUUUGUUGGGGGAUCGGUGAUCCAUAAUCACACCACCCGCUCUGAAUUAUGAAAUGGAAGUACAAAUAAAUGUAUAAACCUGCA
This is a long non-coding RNA of Herpailurus yagouaroundi (jaguarundi), 471 nucleotides long. RefSeq lists it as uncharacterized. The transcript is spliced from 2 exons. NCBI's taxonomy places the organism in Eukaryota, Metazoa, Chordata, Mammalia, Carnivora, Felidae. The record is from RefSeq and is a predicted model, not a curated record.